UACGAAGGGGGCUAGCGUUGCUCGGAAUCACUGGGCGUAAAGCGCACGUAGGCGGCUUGUUAAGUCAGGGGUGAAAUCCUGGAGCUCAACUCCAGAACUGCCUUUGAUACUGGCGAGCUUGAGUUCGGGAGAGGUGAGUGGAACUGCGAGUGUAGAGGUGAAAUUCGUAGAUAUUCGCAAGAACACCAGUGGCGAAGGCGGCUCACUGGCCCGAUACUGACGCUGAGGUGCGAAAGCGUGGGGAGCAAAUAGG
Molecule: ribosomal RNA, 253 nt
Filed under: uncultured bacterium
Lineage: Bacteria
Description: partial 16S ribosomal RNA
Rfam family: Bacterial small subunit ribosomal RNA
Source: RNAcentral